AUUGAACGCUGGCGGUAGGCCUAACACAUGCAAGUCGAACGGCAGCACAGUAAUAGCUCCCUCUUACAGCUGGCGAGUGGCGAGCGGGGGCGGGAAACAUCCGUGGCUGUGUUUUCGAACGUGCGAAAACAGGGAAAAAUACGCCAAAACCGCUUACGGACUAAGGGUGAAAUCUUGGGAUCUCACGACCUCGCACGAUCGAAGGACGCGAUGUCUGAUUAGCUAGUUGGCGGGGUAAAGGCCCACCAAGGCGACGAUCCGUAGCUGGUCUGAGAGGAUGAUCAGUCACACUGGAACUGAGACACGGUCCAGACUCCUACGGGAGGCAGCAGUGGGGAAUAUUGGACAAUGGGCGCAAGCCUGAUCCAGCCAUGCCGCGUGGGUGAAGAAGGUCUUCGGAUUGUAAAGCCCUUUUGGUUGGAAAGAAAGGCAGUAAGUUAAUACCCCGCUGUUCUGACGGUACCAAAAGAAUAAGCACCGGCUAACUUCGUG
This 492-nucleotide ribosomal RNA is filed under the name uncultured bacterium. Its description in RNAcentral is "partial 16S ribosomal RNA". It matches the Rfam family "Bacterial small subunit ribosomal RNA", at positions 30 to 507 of the family's 1533-position model. The record is from RNAcentral.